Molecule: ribosomal RNA, 393 nt
Filed under: uncultured bacterium
Lineage: Bacteria
Description: partial 16S ribosomal RNA
Rfam family: Bacterial small subunit ribosomal RNA
Source: RNAcentral
AUACGGAGGAUCCGAGCGUUAUCCGGAUUUAUUGGGUUUAAAGGGAGCGUAGGUGGACAGUUAAGUCAGUUGUGAAAGUUUGCGGCUCAACCGUAAAAUUGCAGUUGAUACUGGCUGUCUUGAGUACAGUAGAGGUGGGCGGACUUCGUGGUGUAGCGGUGAAAUGCUUAGAUAUCACGAAGAACUCCGAUUGUGAAGGCAGCUCACUGGACGUCAACUGACACUGAUGCUCGAAAGUGUAGGUAUCAAACAGGAUUAGAUACCCUGGUAGUCCACACAGUAAACGAUGAAUACUCGCUGUUUGCGAUAUCCAGGAAGCGGCCAACCGAAAGCAUUAAGUAUUCCACCUGGGGAGUACGCCGGCAACGGUGAAGCUCAAAUGAAUUGGCGGGU